Long non-coding RNA from Micropterus salmoides (largemouth bass), 3618 nucleotides. RefSeq lists it as uncharacterized. The transcript has 3 exons. NCBI's taxonomy places the organism in Eukaryota, Metazoa, Chordata, Actinopteri, Centrarchiformes, Centrarchidae. The record is from RefSeq and is a predicted model, not a curated record.
AAGGGUCUGAGUCUGCACACAACCACUAACCUCUGCUCUCCCCUUAAAGGUCACUAAUCCUCUAUCCAGCUGCUACAGUGCUAUGUUAAACUGUUAUGCCUCAAAUGCACAUAUGUUACACACCACACAGCAAAAAGCAGAACCCUACUACUCUUCUCUACUACUCUGCAGAACCCUGAAGCCAAAAGGUCUUCCCACGCACCUGCAAGCAAAAUAGCCUAAAUGGCCAUAAUACUGCCAUAAAUGGCGGAAUUGCAGUAUCUUCUUGAACAGUACUCUUUGGUGGCAUUUUUCAGGCCAUUGCAACUUAAACUUUAAACUUUGUUGCAAUAUUGGGGCAAGUAGCUUAUUGGACUGCGUGUUUGUGUGUUUGCGUGUGAGAGGGAAAUGGAAACUCCUUAUGAGCAAUGAUCUCUCUCUUUUUGAAGCUAAUAUGCACAGACAGCUGUUUAAUUCACACAAACAUCCCGCUGUAUAUUUGACCAGAACAACGUAUUACUUAUUUAACAGAUAAGAAGUUCUUCUUCCACGUAGGCCUACAUUUGCUAAUUUGGCAGACACUAUAAUGCGGGGAAAAGUCACAUUACAGUUUUUGCCCGUUGCUUGAACACUAUAGACCCAUGCUUAGACUAAAGUAACACAACUUGAAGCUUUUGUUACCAUACCUCAAACACAUGUACCCAUACCUUAAACAAAAGCGCUGCUUUGCAUUCUAGUUGCAAUUCUGCAACACACUUACUCCUUUAUGGAACACACUUGCAUACUGCACUCUAUUUCAUACAUAAGACACUUUGUUCAAAAAUGAAAUCUCAGGGUGCCAUUUGGAAAACGCAUGUAUCCAAAAUACAAAACACAUCAGGUAAUUGCUACCACUCAAAUACACACCUGAAGGCACUUACUUGCAAAACUGAACACCAAUCAGCCAGCUGCAAAAAGCCCUUAGUUUAGCCAUUUCAAGAACUUUGCAAGCAUGGAUGGAGGGAGAGCAAGAGGCAGAGGAAGAGGAGGAGGAGGAGGACAAGGUCAAGGUUAAGGUCGAAGAGGCCAUGCAUGGACCCCGAUUUCUGAUGAUAUAAGAGCAACUUUGGUGGACCAUGUCAUCAACCAUGGCCUGACUACGAGGGAAGCUGGGCAAAGAGUCCACCCAGAUCUAAGCCGCUUCACAGUGGCAUCUGUAAUAACAUUCCGACUAGAAAACAGAAUGACUAGAAGACCUUCUGGGGGGAGGACGCCAACGCCUGUUCACACAACAGCAGGAACUUGCUGUUGUGGACCUAGUGACAGAAAAUACUUGCAGACAGGCAAGUGUUCAACAUAAACCAUGUGAGCAUCACCACCAUCAGACGCAUCUUGGGAAAACACAACAUCACCAUGAAGCAGCUCUACAGGGUCCCAUUUGAGAGGAACAGUGUCAGGGUCAAAGGACUUCGAGCUGAAUAUAGAAUCUUGGUCAUGGAUGGAGCUGCACAGCCUCAUGAAUUAAUUUUCAUUGAUGAAGCUGGAUUUGACCUGAGCAAAACAAUACGAUGGGGUCAUAAUGUAAUUGGCCAAAGGGCAAUUGUGCAUGUCCCAGGGCAGCGCGGGGGAAAUAUCACAUUGUGUGCUGCCAUAUGCCUUAGAGGGCUUCUGCAACAUCAUGCAAAACUAGGUCCAUACAAUAGCCAACAUAUACUCACAUUUCUAGAUGCUUUCCAUAAUAUAGUUGUACAGAACAGACCAGGUUUGUGGUGGUAUGGGAUAAUGUCAGUUUCCAUCGGGCUGCUCUGGUCCAGGCCUGGUUCACCAACCACAAUCAAUUUGAAGUGGUAUACUUGCCCCCUAACUCACCAUUUUUAAACCCUAUAGAGGAAUUCUUUUCGGCUUGGAGAUGGCAUGUAUAUGACCGCCAACCACAUGCCCGCAUGCCUCUUCUGCAGGCAAUGGAACAGGCCGGUGACAGCAAUCCAUGGAUGGUUUCGACAUGCAAGGGGAUAUUUUCCCCCGGUGCCUAGCGGGAGAAGACAUUGCUUGCGAUGUCGAUGAGGUCCUGUGGCCAGACCCCAACAGACGGCGGGAUCCAUGAGCCCACGUAUGCACAAUUUCCAUGAUUUUCUGUGUUUACAAUAUAGUGUUUUUUGCAUUAUCAUAUAUUUUUUUGCUUUAUCUGAAUUCAUGUUACUGCAAUUUACAGUGAUGCAAUGUCCAAUAUUGAGUAGGCCUAUUUGCUUUUUUUGAUUGUUUGAAAAUGUGCCUCCUGAAAAUAUGCCUUCUGAAUAAACAGUGAAAAUCAAAGACUGCAGUGUUUAUAUAAAGUAGUGUGCUCCCGCUGAUCUGAAAGUGUAUGCAUAUGAUGCAAGUAUGUGUCAUUUUGUCAUCAGAGUUACAUUUUGAUAGUAGAGUUUCAAUUUGACAUAGAUGUGAAUGGUAUAUUUCCCAGUGUUGUCAUGUUUACUUGUGUGUAGAGUUUUGGCACUAUGAGCAAAGUUUUGCAAAAUGUGUUCAAGCAACGGGCAAAAACUGUAAGAAGUAGUCUCGUUCCAUGAUUCAAACCCAGACCUCCUGAAUGCAGGACAGCCACAUUGCCACUGUACUAUUAUGUAGUUGUGUUCUUCAGAGAACAGUUAUUGUUAGAACUGUUACUAAAUGUCUCUUGUUGUCAACAUCCGUUGUGGCUUUUGGUAUUCGUGUUGUGGCUUUUGUAUUUGGCCAGAGACCUAAAGGCCACCGUAUUUAGGGGUUUAUAUUUGAGAAACAAGGAGUGGCCGGUAGACUUGAUUCCAGAGGGUGAAGGGAAUUGGUCUCUUGCAAAAUUGGGUCGGUUAUCUCUCUUUAAGAAUUGAAUAAUUUAAUAUCAAUAUAAUGUUAAGUUUAAUGUCCAAUGAUUCUAGUAGGCUAAUCUGAGUGAAUUUGAGUAAUCUUUAGGAUUUUUGUCUAGGUUCUGAAUAGGAGGAGUAAUAAAGUUAACUACACUUCUAUUUUUCCAUUGUAUUUUUAUUAUUUUCUUUAAUUAUAACUUUAUGUAAUCUAUAUUAAUUGUCAUUUUCAUAAAUAUUUGUACUUGUAUGUUAAUAAAUUAUUGAAAAAUUAAGAUACAGACUAAUUAUUUGUGCCUCUUGUUUAUGAUAUGAGGGAAUCCCAGCCCCACAGGUGUAAAGAAAAAGUGGUGAUUACAGUUUUUCUCAAAUGCUAAAACACAAAAGCCAAUCCUCUAAACCAAAUGACCAGUUGUCUAAACACAUUUACUAAAUCUAGCCAUCAUUUUCCAAUAUCAUAAACACAUUUCACAUGAAGACACAAUUCACAAAACACAAUCCUCCGUUCACAAAUCUUAACACAUUUUUCCUUGCUAAAACACAAGUUGCAAAAGAACUCUGCUCAUAUUCUCAAAUGAAAGCUCAUGUGAUGCAAAAUGCUUGCCACAGUCAGCAAUAUUUGAACAAAAUGAACACACCUGGCGUCAUUCAUUACACACAACGAUUCAAAAUUGAAAACACCUGUUGCUAAUGCUGUGACCACAUGUAUAAAAGCAAGUUCAGAGUGCACAGUUUGCUGAAGAUUUCAAACAAACACAAUGGAUGAAGGCAGAGUCAGGGGAAGAGGUAAUCGAGUCAGAGGAGGGAGAAGAGCUGGCCAAGGAGG